This 460-nucleotide ribosomal RNA is filed under the name uncultured bacterium. Its description in RNAcentral is "partial 16S ribosomal RNA". It matches the Rfam family "Bacterial small subunit ribosomal RNA", at positions 338 to 795 of the family's 1533-position model. The record is from RNAcentral.
CCUACGGGAGGCAGCAGUGGGGAAUAUUGGUCAAUGGACGAGAGUCUGAACCAGCCAAGUAGCGUGAAGGAUGACUGCCCUAUGGGUUGUAAACUUCUUUUAUAUGGGAAUAAAAUGUUCCACGUGUGGGCUUUUGUAUGUACCAUAUGAAUAAGGAUCGGCUAACUCCGUGCCAGCAGCCGCGGUAAUACGGAGGAUCCGAGCGUUAUCCGGAUUUAUUGGGUUUAAAGGGAGCGUAGGUGGAUUGUUAAGUCAGUUGUGAAAGUUUGGGGGUCAACCGUAAAAUUGCAGUUGAAACUGGCAGUCUUGAGUACAGGAGAGGUGAGCGGAAUACGUGGUGUAGCGGUGAAAUGCUUAGAUAUCACGAAGAACUCCGAUUGCGAAGGCAGCUCACUGGACUGCAACUGACACUGAGGCUCGAAAGUGUGGGUAUCAAACAGGAUUAGAUACCCUUGUAGUC